CCUACGGGAGGCAGCAGUGGGGAAUAUUGCACAAUGGGGGAAACCCUGAUGCAGCGACGCCGCGUGAGUGAAGAAGUAUUUCGGUACGUAAAGCUCUAUCAGCAGGGAAGAAAAAAAGUCCUUUGGACUUUGGACGGUACCUGACUAAGAAGCCCCGACUAACUACGUGCCAGCAGCCGCGGUAAUACGUAGGGGGCAAGCGUUAUACGGAUUUACUGGGUGUAAAGGGAGCGUAGACGGCAGCGCAGGUCUGGAGUGAAAUGCCGGGGCCCAACCCCGGAACUGCGUUGGUAACUGUGCAGCUGGAGUGCAGGGGAGGGAAGCGGAAAUCCUAGUGUGUCGGUGAAAUGCGUGGAGAUUAGGGGAGGCACCAGUGGCGAGAGCGGCUUACUGGACUGUAAGUGA
RNAcentral lists this ribosomal RNA (405 nucleotides) under uncultured bacterium. Its description in RNAcentral is "partial 16S ribosomal RNA". It matches the Rfam family "Bacterial small subunit ribosomal RNA", at positions 338 to 743 of the family's 1533-position model. The record is from RNAcentral.